AGUGAACGCUGGCGGCAGGCCUAACACAUGCAAGUCGAACGGCAGCACAGGAGAGCUUGCUCUCUGGGUGGCGAGUGGCGGACGGGUGAGGAAUAUAUCGGAAUCUACCCUUUCGUGGGGGAUAACGUAGGGAAACUUACGCUAAUACCGCAUACGAACUGAGGUUGAAAGCGGCGGACCGCAAGGCGUCGCGCGGAUGGAUGAGCCGAUAUCCGAUUAGCUAGUUGGCGGGGUAAAAGCCCACCAAGGCGACGAUCGGUAGCUGGUCUGAGAGGAUGAUCAGCCACACUGGAACUGAGACACGGUCCAGACUCCUACGGGAGGCAGCAGUGGGGAAUAUUGGACAAUGAGCGCAAGCCUGAUCCAGCCAUGCCGCGUGUGUGAAGAAGGCCUUCGGGUUGUAAAGCACUUUUGUUGGGAAAGAAAAGCGGUCGGUUAAUACCCGGUCGUUCUGACGGUACCCAAAGAAUAAGCACCGGCUAACUUCGUGCCAGCCGCCGCAGUAA
Molecule: ribosomal RNA, 506 nt
Filed under: uncultured bacterium
Lineage: Bacteria
Description: partial 16S ribosomal RNA
Rfam family: Bacterial small subunit ribosomal RNA
Source: RNAcentral